CUACUGUUACCCUAGCUAAAAAAGCCAAGAAUAAGGAAAGAGAACAUCAGUGGAUAGAAAAGAAACCAGUAUUUCGAGGAAAUAUUCUCGAUUUUCAUGCAAGAGGAGUAAGACUGCUUAAACAAUUUGUCAUAAUCACAAAGGUUAUCUUUUAUUGUAUAAAUAGACACUAAUAUGUCAUAAUUAGCACCUGAAGUAAUACUUUCACAAUCCCGCAUCUCUAUUUAUUUGUUUCAACUUUCACUUUAUCCUAAAGUCAUAUGAAACCUCAAAUCAGGAACAUAUAUAAUAUGAGGCAGGCAUUACCUGUGAAUACACCUUCUCGCUAAUCCCGGCUGACCCGGCUGCUUGAACUUUUGACGCAUACAACAACCACUUAUCCAUUGUGGCGUCAGAUAUUUUGUUUUAUGACGUCAAAAUUUUACGGGAACCUGUGUGAUCUCCAGUAAUGGCGGACAAAUAGCGAUAAGGUGUAUGGGGACAGAGUCUGUAUGAAUUUUUUUUUUUUAUAACUUACAUAUUUGUUAAAAAAAAGAAACGGAAAUACCGUAACGUUUCCGAUUUUGGUUCUGUUGUUAGGGAUUUUACUUGUGACGUUAUUUUUAAAAGUUAUGAGGUCAUGUUCAAUGUAAACAAAGUCCCCAUGUUAGAUAUACUGUUGCCAGCUCAAAUUAAAAAAAAAAUGAUGCUUAUGUUUUUUAUAACUAAAUGGAUAGUUUUCAUUAUAAAACUUGUGUACAUAUACUUUUUUUUCUGAAGAAAAUUCUUUGAUUUGUCCACUUUUGAAAAGAGUUUACUUUUUUUAAUUGCUUGCUUCCAGGAAGCAAUUGCUCGACUCAUUUUCCUUUUCAGUAUGAAAGUGGCUCUUCUCGUAAAAAUCAGGUGAUCACACUUUGCAUGUAUCUGUCAUCAUGGUCAUUGAAAUAAACUGUUAUUUGAUUGUACAUGAUAUACAGGUGUUCAAUAUCAUACCUGCCAACUUUUCAAAAUGCCCAUGGGGGUUUUGCAUGCAAGAUGGCUGUCAUAGUCCUACAAUACCUUUGAGGGGGCCUUCAAAUAUAUUUUAAUGUUGUUUUUUGGCUUCUUUAUACUUUUACAAGCCUAUAGCCAUUGUAAAAUUAAUUGUUUUGUUUAUAUUGUGGACACAAUUGCUCUUUUAAAAUAUCCAUUUGGGAGCCUCCAUGGGGGAAAUCCCCCGCAAAUAGUGACAGUUGGCAGGUAUGCAAUAUCCAUGCUUCUUUGUUGAUUGUUUACUAUAUUAAAGGUGACGAUCGGUAAACUAUGGCUUCAAAAUACGACAAUUAAUCAGCUGCCAUAUUUUCAAUUCACAACAUACACAACAGACACUUCUAGAGAAAAAAAAUUGACGAUUAUACGAUAUGUUUGCGUAAAAAAAGAUAAAAUAGUGCACAGAAGACUAAGUUUAUGAUAUAUACAUGCAUUGAUUCAAGAAUUGGAUAAACAUUAUUUUUCACCAAUCACUUGUUUCAUAUGACUUUAAUAUCAAGGACAAGGAUUUGUAAAGUAAAAUGUAAGACUAAAACUAAACAAAUCCGUGUCCUUAUUAAUUGAUAUUACCAGGUUUUUCAAUAGGAUAUUCUUGCUUUUGACUCUUUUAUGAUCAAGUGCAAUAAAGGGGGUUGGGUUGGGUUGACAAUCGUGAACAUAAAGUGGCAGCUGAGAUGCUGAGGGUGAAACAAACAAUUUUUUUUUCUCUGGGUCAAAAAACAAUUUUUUUUUUUCAAAAAAAAAUCCAUAUCUGCAUUAUAUAUUAUGAGGACUCAUCCGUACCAGCAGUGUUUAUCAAAUUAUGUCGAUAAACAUAAUAAUGAUAAAGCUUCAGAUAUUAGAAGUUCAAUGAAUCACAUGUACAGUCGCUUGAAAUUUAGUGAUUAAAAUAUGAAAAAAAUAAACAAUAUACAUGAUAUAUACAUCUCUAUUUCAUGUAUUUUUUUUAUUUUUUUAUUUUAUUAUCACUAAUGUUCAAGUGACUGUGAAUGAAUGUUACUGUUAGUGUCAAUAGAAUGGCUGUUGUGAUCACAAAAUGAAUCUCUCUCAUGCUUUCUGAAUUGGUUGCAAUGUUAAAAAUGAACUUAUUUUCUAAUAGACUUUCACUGACUUAAUGCUGUAAAUGAUGAUUUUUUUUUUAGAUAACUGACAAAAAAAAUCUGGAAAAAUUUGCCAGAGUUGGUGAAACAAUUUGAAAAAGAUUUCCACACAAUUGUGUUAGAUUUUUCAGUUUUCAAUAUACAAUUUAUUAAUACAAUGUAAAGUAAUUAUGAAUGGACAUCAUUGUAAUUGAAGCUACAGCUAAAUGGGAGAAUAAUUAAUAUAAGUUCUUGCUUCAGGAUAUCUAUGAGGGAGGAUUUUAAAGUCAUGAUGCUCUUUAGUUACAUAUCAAACUUUUAAUCUGUGUGUAUUUUGACGGGAAUCAUGUUCAUAAUGUCAUGGAUGUUAAUAGUAUACAUUUUGUACUUAGUAUUAUUUUUUCCCUAACUGGCUAAGGGGCAUGAGGGGUGUGGGAGUCCUCUGAACAUGCAUGAACCCUCAAACCCAUUUCAGCCUGUUUAUACGUUUGUUGUCUGAAAGAUCAACAAAAUUUUCAUAUUUUUACUGUACUUAAAUUUUUUUUUUAAAGAUUGCUCACAGAAUACAAACAGGACAAACAGGACAAAAUGCCUAAAAAAAUCAAUGUAAAUCUGAAAUCAAGAGGACUAGUCAGAAGAUUUCCCAAUAAUCAUUUUCAAAAUGUUUUAUGUACAUGUAUGUGUGCUUUCAUGUGAUAAUGUCUAUUUUACUAUAUUCAAAUAAUAUACUUAAUGCCAGUAGAAUCACACCACAUUAAAUUAAGCAAGCCACUAAGGCAUGUAAGGCUUUGUCUAUCAUGUCUAUAGACAAAUGAUAGAUAUGUUAUCAAUCUGAAAUAAUUUUAAAUUUUUUAUUAGAUGUCCAACAAAUCAGGAAAACUUUAUACAUUUUUUUUAAUGGAGAUUGCAAAAUAAAUGUUUGCAUAAUGAUAAACAAAUUGUUAGAUGCAUGUUUGAUUCCACUAGGUUAUCACUGUAUCAUGUGUAUGUAUAACAUGAAUAAACAAUAUGAUUUUCGUUUUUAAUUUCAGAAAAGAGACAGAACUAUCAUGAGUGAUAAUCAGGAUGAACCUCAGAGAGGAGACAGUGAGGUCAUGGAGGUAGAUGCUAAGGUUGGAGAUAGUCAGAUGGAUGGGAAAGGAGGGUUUGUAUAUAUAUAUAAUCAAGUAAUAUACUAUAUGUAUCUCCCUCAGUCAUGCAAAGCUCUGAUUCCUUUCACGGAUUUGGCUAUACUUUUUGGAUCUUUUGGAUUAUAGCUCUUCAUCUUUUAUAUAAGCUUUGGAUUUCAAAUAUUUUGGCCACGAGCAUCACUGAAGAGACAUGUAUUGUCGAAAUGCGCAUCUGGUGCAAGAAAAUUGAUACCGUUAAUUUUAUUAUAUAUGAAUAAACCUAUAAACAUGAUAAAGGGCCUCAAAAUGACUAGUGUGAAACAUUUAACAAGAAAUCCAAUGGUGGAAUCUAUAUAAAAAACAAGAAACACUUUUUAAUCACUGCAAUAAAUGACAACCAAACAACAAACUCCUUAACACAUGUACAACAGCCUUCACACUUAACUUUUUAGUCCACAAGCCACAAGCUGAUUUUUUUUGAAAAUUUUGGUUAGAUUCUGUUAACUUGUAGAGAAGAAUUUUACAAGCCCGAAAAGAAUUUUACAAGCCCGAAAAGAAAUUUUUCAAGCUCGAAAAGCAAUUUUUCAAGCCAAUGCCGUAGGACUUGUGGUUAGGGAUGAAGACUGAUACAAUGUACAUGUAUUAUUGUUAAAAUUCCAUCUCUUGUACAUUUUGUAAGACUUAUCUUCAAAAUUAAACUGAUCAAAUUUGUAAUAAGCAUGAGCAACAAGACAGGUGACACAUGUACAUGUAGAACAAGAUGUACUUAUAACCCUUUAAGACUUACUUUUAAAAAUAAAGAAGAUAUAAGUCCCGGAAUAUAUAACGAAAAUUCUUGGACUUAUUUCAACCAUGUAAUACCAGAAAGGUGUACAGUUCUUUGGGAAAGUUUCUUCAAAAUAAAAAUAUGUGCCCUUUUGUACUAAGAAGUGGUUUAUACAACAAAACAAAAGUUUUUAUCACUAGAAAUUGAUCCCUCAUUUAAGGUGUAAUCAUUACAUUGAAGGGUUACUCUCAUUCGAGGGGUUGUUCCCAACCUUUUGAAUAGAUUUCUUCACAACGACAGUUUUCUUUUCUAGACCACUAAAUGAAAAAGUUGAGAAGCAAAACUAUGCUUGAAACAUGUGUGUCACUGAAACGACUUUAAAGUACCCACUCAAAUCAAUUAUCUAUAUCAAAGUCAAAGGAUAAAGUUUUAAAUCAGAGAUUUUUCUUGCUUUUGAACAUUUUUCGUCAUGAUAACAGUUUUCUUUUCUGAACUAUUAUUAUAAGAAGGAGAGGAGACUUCAAAAUUUUGCUUCAAACACGUGCAUCACAAAGUGAUUAAUAAAUCCUCUAUGUGACAUGUGACGGACGCCAUUUAACCAAAUCAUUCUAUCAAACAAUAAAAUCAACACCCUUAUUAAUUAGUCUUUUGUUGUCGAUAGCUAUAAAAUGCAAUCAGCUGAUUAUUGAUUUUCUAUCAAAAUCUUAACGAGUUCAAGGUGAAUACCGAGUAUUGUCCGAUCAGGUAAAGUCCAAGAAACUAGAAAAAAGUAAAUAAACAAGAUGGUUGAAAAUAAAUCGUUAUAUAUAUUUCUUUCGCCAAAUUCUUUCGCCAAUGAUGAAUUUUAAUCGCCACAAUUAUUAUUUUUCGCAAAUGAAAAUGGCGACUGCCAGCGGUAACCCUGCUUUAAGUGCACAUAAGAUCACUCAUGAUAUUUUGUGGGUUUUAUGUUUAUGAUGUUGCUCAGUCUCUUUAUUGUGUAGUGUUUUGUAGACUGAUGUUGCUCAGUCUCUUUAUUGUGUAGUGUUUUGUAGACUCAUGUCAUUUUAAUUUUUGGUCUUGAUAUUGCCAGUUAUUAAUCGACUUUGCAAUUGUUAUUUCCUUUGUUAUCUCAGGCCUAUUUGUUGCAAGGUCAUAUCACAUUAUUUCAAAUAUCUCAACUCACAUGAAAAUUCUGAUAUGACUAUUAUCAAUGAUUAUUAGCAAAACCAUCAAGAUCUUGAAUGAUGUACAGCAUGUACAGCGUUAUAUACGGUAAAAUAGUGGCGUUGAUGAUUUACUUUUUACUCUUAAAUGGUAAAAGUCAUCCAGAAUCCUGAUUAUGCAUGAAAUAAUAGCCACAGGAAUUUUGCAAUCAACAAUCAAUCAUUAAAUAGAAAAGUGACGUUAUGAGCUCACAACAUUUAUCUUACACAAUCAUUAGGUUGCUGUUGUUACGGAUAAAAAUCUAGACUUAGAACUUGUCAUUUCAAAAAAAUAUAUUAAACAAGAUCAAAAAGAAAUUAAAAGUAGCACUGGCAUCAGUAGAUUACCCUUUGGACAUGUUGGAAAGUAAAAAAAAAAUUCAAAAAAUUCUUGAUUAUGAUUGUCAAACUGUAGUCAAACAAUCCCCUUUAUCAUGUUUAUAUAUAUUUACAUUGUCAAUUUUUUUAUAUUUAAAGUGUAGAAGACACACCAGUAUAUAUAUGCUAUACCUUUUUUGCAUUACAGUUAUGACCAAGCUGAUGCUUUAGGUUUAUAUCCAGAAGAUCCAUCUUCUCAAGGGAGACAGCAACCAGCUUUCAAAGAUUUGUAAGUCAGAUUUGUAUACACACAUUCCCCAUGUCCAUUCUCUAUUCUGAACUUAAUCCUUCUUGUUCAAUUAUCUACAAAAAGAUGCGUUAUUUCUAUAACAUUAUCAGGCAUGGUUAUUUAUUUGGUGAAAUUCAGAGGAAAGCAAGAAAAUUGACCUCAUAACUGAAUUUUGACCAAUGAAGAACUGAGAUCAAAUGAACCACAUGUUGAUUAAAUAGAUAUAGUCAAAAGGUAUAGAAAAAGAAAAUAAGUUAAGAAAUGGGGAAAGAAAGAUAUUCAGUGAUUGACCAAACAACACAUUAAAAAUACUUAACCAUCCUUUUCUCACCAGUAACUUUUGUUUUUGUCUCCCUCUACAAAAGUUGUGGUCAGCAAAACCAUGACGACAUAGGUGUCUCUUUUUCAUGUUGUGUUGUGGCCCCGGUGGCUGAUGCGUCAACAAUUGUAAAAUUUUCUGAUUAAGUCUUUUUGAUAACUUCAUUUGAUUGAUCAAUGAUAUUUUCAAUAGAGUUGUAAUACUAUCAGUACUUAUCAGUUCAAAUGACUACUUUUUCAAGGCCCUGCCCCUAUUUCAUGGUCUAGUGACUUUGAAUUAUUUAGCAAUUAACAAUGUUAGUAAAUAUAAAAAAGCAGAUGUGGUAUGAUUGCUAAUGAGACAACUGUCCACAGGAGACCAUAAUGACACAGACAUUAACAACUAUAGGUCACUGUACGGCCUUCAACAAUGAGCAAAGCCCAUACCGCAUAGUCAGCUAUAAAACAUGUAAAAGGCCCCAAUAUGACAAUGUAAAACAAUUCAAACGAGAAAACUAUCGGCCUUUUUUAUAUAAAAAAAUGAACGAAAAACAAAUAUGUUACACAUAAACAAACACAACCACUGAAUUAAGUCUGCUCAAAUUAGUGUGAUAUAUGUAGGAAUUAUUUGUGAUAGAUAAAAUAUUUUUUAUAAAGUUGCAUUACUAUUGUACAUAUAAGUUUUACAACAUUUCAAGGCCCUGCCCCAGGGUCAACUGUAGUGACUUAAUGGGAAUUAAUUAGCAAUGUUGCUGUACAUCAGAUUGUCUUUUUUCUUCUUCAAAUUUUCUAGCGAUAGUCGAGACAACAGUUUAUCUAUACAUGUAGUAUAAUACAGUAAAUGCUUUACAUUUUGUAUAUGUAGGAAACUUAUCAUCAGUUUAUUAUUUUUAGAAAAAUACACGUAAUCACAGAGAUUGCAGAUAUUAGAGAUGAUGAAUUUAAUUCACAAACCUAUAAAACUUGUGAAAAUGUUGGGAAAGCUGUUAUUGUUAGUAAUUUUAUGGAUGGUUAUGUACGAAGGGAUAAAAGAGACUUGGAUAUCAGGCCGUUUGCCAAGAGUGAUUGUGAGAAGCUAGAGGGAGCACUAAGAAAGAUUGGAUUUGAACCUUUGGACAAAAAUCAAGGCAGUAUGGUAUACAAAAACCUGACAAAAAGUCAGUUUGAAGCCCUAUACAGUAGAGGUAAUAUGAUAGAUAUAUCAUAAGAUUAUAGAAUAUCUAUUCUCUUAAAGCUGCAUUUUAGCAUAUUUUUAAAGGGAAAAUAUGAAUUAAAUAUCAUAUAAAUUGGUAUGGAAAGCACUUCACAUUAUAUUUAAUGAAUGAUGGUUAUAUUUACAUAGUGUCCCUAAGAAAAUAAAUUACAAUAAACAUUUUGUGGUCAUACAGAAUAGAAAAGACCUAUCCUCCCAACACCCUUGUCUCUAUUUGUUCUAUAUCUGAAACUGUUUUAACCACAUUUUCAGUAAAUGCAAAGUCUAUGUAUUGACAUUAUGCACAUUGGAAACAUUUUUAAACCUAAUUUAUCAGCACCCAAACUAAGAAAAAAAGCAAAAAAAUGUUAGCUCACCUAGCCAGAAUUAAGCUAUAUAUACAAGACGGGGUGCAGACGAACCAUAAAUCUAGAUUUUCAAUGAAGUACAAAUUAUCUAUUAAUAGGGUUGUAGGCUUACUCUGGCAAAACAAUGAAGUAAAUAAAAUCCACAAAAAUGAAAAAUAAAAUAUAUUGUCAAUAUAUAAAUAUCACAAUCCACGUAAACUUAUACCCAAGGAAAGAAAUGAAUUCUUGGUAAUCUAUUUCAAUUUUCUUUUACUAUUAGUUGCCAAGGAGAUCAACUACAGACCUAAAGGAGCAGCAGGAUAUACAUCUGUUCUGUUUUUUGUCAUGUCGUAUGGGAGAUCAGGACUAAUAAGAUGUCAUAGAGAACCAGGAGAAAAGGGAGACCAUCCAUUUGUAGAACAAAAACACCUGCAGGAAGCCUUCCAACCACAAAAUAAUCAUUCACUGGCCUUGAAACCAAAGUUAUUUAUUAUCCAGGUUUGUAAAAGUUUUAUGAUUACAUCAUUGAGUUGAUAAAAGAGAACUGACAAAAAUCAAGUAGCUAUCUUAUCAAUAUUACAUUUCAUUGCUUCUGUACUAAUCAAUGUACAAAAAAUACAAAUACUGUGGAAUCAUUAUUAUUGUUGAAUACCAAUUUUCAUGUAAUUAAGGGUUUAGGAAUAAGAAUAAGAUUAAGAAUUUUAUUAGUCUAAAAUCCAAAAAAUAGGAUUGUUAUUAAAAUACGAAACAAAAACAAACAAAGACAGGCAUAUUAAGGGCUAUUCCAAAAAAACUUGCCCACCCAGACAAUUGUUAUUGAGACUUAUAGUGCAUUAUAGUGUGAAAAGUUGCUCUAAUACCCAUCACCCAUGUAUUAUUAAUAUAAUGUGCCUUACAACACCCCCCCCCCCCCCCAAUACAUUUUUUCUGGAAUAGCCCUAAUUACAAAACGAUAGACAUUAAACACUACAAACAUGAAGCAUUGAAAGAAAAAAAAAUAUACAUUGAUACACAAAAUUAAAUGUUCAAUAAAUGACAAAUUUAGUUUACUAUAGUCUUGUAUGCAGACUUCCCCAAAACAACAAAAUUAGAUUUCCACGAACAUAUAUUAAGUUUUUCCUUAAUACAAGAAAAUUGGUAUUCACAAAAAUAAAUGAAUCAACAGUAAAGCAAGAUACAUCAAUUCAGACAGAAUAAUUUCAAAGGAAUAACUCAGUAAUGACAUCUUUCAAUUGGAAAUAGGGUAACAUAUGUAAAAGUAUGUAGUAUACAUUGCUUUUGAAAACCAUGUGACACCAAUUGCUAAAUAAACUAAUGUCCAUGUGUAAGUAUUUAAAAAAAUCCUCUUUGUAAUAGUUUGGUCAUUUGAUUCCAACAAAAUAAACAAAUAUUGUAUUUGCCAACCAUAUAGUCUAGAAUAAAUGGAAAAAUAACAAUUAUCAUGAUUAUGAAUAAACGUAUUUACACUUAUGGUAUUUAGCUGAAUCUUGCCCCCGAAUGAUCUUAGAUCUACUCCGAAUCACCUUUUGACGUCAAGCAACAAUCAGUUUUAAAUUGUGACGUCAAAUAAUUUAAAUUAUGAUGUCAAAGUUUACGGGAACCUGUGUGAUUUUACGUAAUGGCAGACAAAUUUGCAUACAAGUGUAAACACGUCUAUAGUUUCAAACAUAUUAAAAAGAUAAGUUAUUUUAUGAGGAUUCGUUUUGAUUUAAUUGCUUCACAUUUUAUAGCAAAUAGGACAGACUAAACAAAUCUGUAUACCAGUAAAUAUGUAACAAAUGAUUUGUUUCCAGAAAAUUGACUAAAAUGUGAAAACAAUAUUAUAUGUAUUUACAUGUUGAUAGAUAUAGAUUCAUGGACAUUCAAUCAUUCAAAAGGGACUGACAACAAGCAUUAUUUUGACUUCAAACUUUAAACAUGAGGUUCUCUUCUAUUCAGACUAUUCCUGAAGCCACAUCUGAGGCAGAUGCAAUAGGUGGUACUGAAGUAACAACCACCAAAAGGAUACCAAGAGAGGCAGAUUUCUUAACAUAUGCCUGUGAUCAGUAUUGUAUAAAAGGUGGGUGGUAUGAGUAUAGAUAUUAGAAGGUGUGGUUUGAGUGCCAAUAGGACAACUCACUAUCCAAGUCUCAAUUUGUAAAAGUAAACCAUUAUAGGUCAAAGUACGGUCUUCAACAGGGAGCCUAAGUUCACACAGAAUAGCAAGCUAUAAAGAACCUCAAAAAUGUCUACUAAGUGUUAAACAAUUUAAACAGGAAAAACAACGGUCUUAUCUAUAUUAGAAAAAUAAGAAACAAGAUUCUCAUAAACCACAUCAACAAAAGACAACCACUGAACAUCAGGUUCCUAGUAGAUGUGUUCAAAUUUUAGUGCUCUUCAUUUUUAUUAUUUUCGUUAAAAAAGUAACAAAAAGGUGAUUAAGGUGUGCAUUUUAGGAGGUAUCAGUGGCACACACAAUUUGUUUAAGUUUGCAAUAAGUCAGUUAAAGAGAGAACCACUAAUGGUAAGUCAAUGAUGUUUUGUACACAUUUGUAUUAGCAUUUGCACAUAUCGUUUCCAUAAAGAUUAUUUGGUGCAUCCUCAGUCAUGGUCUAUUGACUAGGUAACUAGGACUAGGGCUAGGUAUCUAGCUUGGUUUACAUGUUGAAGUUUGUAAUUACCUGUUUUAGGGGAACCACUAAUGAAAGAUCAACAAAGUAUAUAAGUUGUAUUUGGAUUGAUACAUCUUAUUUCUAAUGAGAUUUGUUGGCCCUGUAUUUAAUCAUGGUUUAUUGACAUUUAUGCAUGUAAAAAGUAUUGCCAUUUUAAUUUUCAACAUUUGCAUAUUGCUAUUAAAUUACCAUUACAUACAGACUAGUCAUAUGUCUGUACAACAGUUUAUUUGUGCAAAUUAGACUGUAGACCGGAAUAGCACAUCAUGAGAAGGCAGAUCCAUUUAAUUUUAAGAUUGAUAUUCCUUUCAUUGAAAAUUCGUCAAUGUAAUUGUGCUUUUGUUUUAAAAGAGAUGGCUGCAUAUAUUAUUUGACUAAUUAUUCACAAUGCUAUUUUUCAGAUAACAAUGUCUUUAUUGACUCCGUAGUGCAUGUUUUAAACAAUCUAGCCAAGGAGAAAGAAGAGAACAAGCCUGCCAUGGAGAUACAGAAAGUUUUAAUAAGAAUGAACAAACAGUACAAAGACACUAGAGCAAACAAAAGUUGGAAACUGCCCUGUGUUACAUCUUCUCUUACAAAGCAGUUGAUUCUGUUUUGAUUUUUACAUAAAGGGACAAAUUUCUAACAAUGGAAACAAAAAGCCCUCCUGAAGGAAAAAACAAAUCACCAUUUAAAAAAAAAUCAUUGGUGUGUACUAAUUUGACCAGUUUUCUCUGUAUUUUAAAAAAUGAAAAACAAUUUUGUUUAAUCAUUUAUAAUGAUAUUUUGCAUAAUAUGCUAUUGCACAAUAAUAUGAAGUUUUUAUUGAGAAGUACUGGGUCCCAGGUAUAUACAAGUAUUAAAGUGUAUGUCAUAUCCAUAAGAUUAUAAGAUUCAAGAAAUGUGAAUGCCAUCCAUGUUAAAAUAAAAUCUUUAUUUGGAAACCUUGAGGUGAUUAGGACAUUUCUUUAUACUGGAUUUCAUUAUUAAUUUACUGCUAAUGUGGUUUUAUAUUGGUACAUGUAUCAUGUACUAUAGAUGUUUGAAAGUUGACACAUUUUGUAUGCAUUUGUCUGGAAUAUUAUUGCUACUCAUAAAUUAUAGGAAACAAUUCUAUAAGAGUAUUGACAAAUUACCAACAAUUAUUUUUCUAUGAUUUUUUGAUUGAGUUAUGAUGAUAUGGAUUGCUAAAUUCUUUCAGGUUAAAUGUUUUAGAUAGACAUGUGUUUGAGAAACAUAUCUUACUUAAAUAUGUAAAUGAGGUAUCACAGAAAUGUAAUUUUUAUCUUUUGUACUUUUAUUUGAAAGGUACAGCUGUAAUGGGAUUGUCAAUCUGCCCAAUAGUUCAUAUCAAAUUGUCAUAGAAAGAUGUAUAUAUUUCUUUUACAUAAUUAUUUAAAUUGACUUUUAAUGGAUUUUAGCAGAGCCAUAUGAGAUAUUGGUAUCAAUAAUUAGUGUCCCCAUUAAACAUGUUAAUAAGCAUCUUUAAUUGUCCAUUGUAAGCUUAUUCCAACAUAGCCAAAAGUGAUGUACCAAUUUAAUACAUAUAUAUAUAAGAUUGACAUGAUUUAUUUCUCAAAUUUUUGUGCUAUUUUCACAUUUCCUGACCGGUGUGAGAAAAAUAUUUCUCAUCACUAGUAAAACAUCUGUUCUCGUCAAAUGAUUGGUUGAAGUUCAAUUGUGACGUUAAAUUUUGCAGAUCCUGAAAGCGUUAAUCCCAAAAUCCAAAUCUAAAAAACAGCCCAUCCCAGGGUCCCGAUAAGGUCCUUUCCCCUUUCUUGAUAGAAUACCAUAACUAGAGGCUCUAAAGAGCCCAUGUCACUCACCUUGGUCUAUGUACAUAUUAAACAAAGGACACAGAGUUCAUUGAAAAUUGAAAAAAAAGAUGAUUUGUAUAGAUGUUGAUUUAUUUGUUCUAAAUAUGAUCAUAGUGCUAAACUUGAGAAGCUCACUACAAAUGUAUACUUUAUUUUUACUUAUGUUUGAAGGUUGAAAUUACCUAUUGACUGGUGCAGACUUAAUAUGAUAACCUAUAUAUUGAUUUUAUACUAAAUAAUUCAAUGGAAAAAAUCUAAUUAACAUAUUGAUAUCACUGUUAUUGAUUAACACAUUGUGAGUUGAUUUUUUUACCAUAUAAAGUUAUUAAACAGAAAACAUUUAUAAAAAUAGUGCUAUUUUUCUCAAACACUUACAUGCAAUUGUCGAAUCAAAAGUAUCCUUGGUUACAUUUUCUGUCAAAAUUCCUGAAAUUAGAAUGUUUUUUAAUGAGACAGUAUUUUAAUGCCCCCACAAUAACAGAGAGGAAAUCAAGUAUAAUCCUUGUUUGUCUGUUUGUCUGUCCCUACAUCCAUACAUCCCAAAAUUGAUUUCCGUUCUGUAACUUUAGUUUGCCUCAGCCAAAUGUCAUGAAAUUCAUACACAAUGCUUUUUACCAAAAACGGUUUGUUCAUUACAUUAUAUGUAAGUGGGGGAGGCAUCAUGUGUGUCCCAUGGAUACAAGCCCCAUCAAAUUUUUAAAAUAAAUCUGCAUUGAUGUUGAUUUUUUGCACUUAUAUAUAGAUACUUAUGUCUGGGGUUGAUGUUUUAAACUAGCCUGGCCUUAAAACCACAUGAGCUAAUGCAUCCCUUUGAAUCUAUUGUCCUUUUGUUGAAACAAAAAUCUUCUCCUUUGAAACUGCUGGGCUAAUAUAACUACACUUUACAUGACUGUUUAAUGCAUCAAGUAAGAAAAAUUGCAUCAAGGAAUUUGAUCCAUUAACAACCAUAGCCUCUGAUUACAAAAGUAGAACAUGAGGUUUAACUACAAAUUUGGGCUCAAAAGCUUGAGUAGUGAGAGGAAAAUUUCAAUGGAGUAAAAUUAAUCAGCAGGUUGAGGUCUAUCUCUGGUGGAAAUUUCAGAAACACUAACCCUCAAUUCUCUUCCAACUUUUUACUUGUUUGGCUUUACAAAUAUUUCGAUAUGAGCGUCACUGGUGAGUCUUAUGUAGACGAAACGUGCUUCUUGCAUAUUUUAUAAAUUAUAAUCCUGGUACCUUUGAUAACUAUUAUUAUUUUGCUGUACUGUACACAUUUACUAUAAUAAUCUAUUAAAAGUUUUUGAAAACAAAAGUAGCUUCGAGCAUUAAUCUCUUGCAAGGGAGCAAUUGACUAUUACAGCCAAGUUGACAUCUUAGAAAACCUUUUUUUGCUGAACAUUUAUGUAUAAUAAAAUUUCACUCUGUCCUUUAUAGUCUCAACAAAAAACAACAAAAAAAUGUGUACAAUUCGUCUUGCAUAGCCAUUAACUCCCAUUAUGAUUCAAUUGACGAUUUGGCCGAAUUUUACUAAACAUUUUUACUUCUAAAACACUCUAUCUGCUCUAGUUCCUGUAAAAAAUAUAGUACAAGUCAUCCUACAUUAGCAAAUACUCCAAUAAGAGGUUAAUCAUUGUAAAUGUACGAUUUUGUCAUUCUAACUUAUUUGUUACAGCAGAUCUUAUUUCUGGUAAUUUUUACUUUUGGAGAUUCCUCUCAAUCUAUAAUAGUUUGAAGAUCAUAAAACACACCAAUAUUUGCUAAAAAAUGAAAUUUAAGGGAAUAACAACAAAACUAUUUUUGUCAUUUUUUUUUAAUACCUGAGAAGAUAAAACUUGUCAUGAUGACCUGCCAAUUUUUUGUUUAAUCUGCUUUGAUUUAUGAAGUGUGAGCCAAAAACUUUACGACAUUUGCUGAAAAUGGACAUAUCAGCGACAAUAUCUUUCAAAGAAGGUUUUCCUAUGUAAUAUAANNNNNNNNNNNNNNNNNNNNNNNNNNNNNNNNNNNNNNNNNNNNNNNNNNNNNNNNNNNNNNNNNNNNNNNNNNNNNNNNNNNNNNNNNNNNNNNNNNNNNNNNNNNNNNNNNNNNNNNNNNNNNNNNNNNNNNNNNNNNNNNNNNNNNNNNNNNNNNNNNNNNNNNNNNNNNNNNNNNNNNNNNNNNNNNNNNNNNNNNNNNNNNNNNNNNNNNNNNNNNNNNNNNNNNNNNNNNNNNNNNNNNNNNNNNNNNNNNNNNNNNNNNNNNNNNNNNNNNNNNNNNNNNNNNNNNNNNNNNNNNNNNNNNNNNNNNNNNNNNNNNNNNNNNNNNNNNNNNNNNNNNNNNNNNNNNNNNNNNNNNNNNNNNNNNNNNNNNNNNNNNNNNNNNNNNNNNNNNNNNNNNNNNNNNNNNNNNNNNNNNNNNNNNNNNNNNNNNNNNNNNNNNNNNNNNNNNNNNNNNNNNNNNNNNNNNNNNNNNNNNNNNNNNNNNNNNNNNNNNNNNNNNNNNNNNNNNNNNNNNNNNNNNNNNNNNNNNNNNNNNNNNNNNNNNNNNNNNNNNNNNNNNNNNNNNNNNNNNNNNNNNNNNNNNNNNNNNNNNNNNNNNNNNNNNNNNNNNNNNNNNNNNNNNNNNNNNNNNNNNNNNNNNNNNNNNNNNNNNNNNNNNNNNNNNNNNNNNNNNNNNNNNNNNNNNNNNNNNNNNNNNNNNNNNNNNNNNNNNNNNNNNNNNNNNNNNNNNNNNNNNNNNNNNNNNNNNNNNNNNNNNNNNNNNNNNNNNNNNNNNNNNNNNNNNNNNNNNNNNNNNNNNNNNNNNNNNNNNNNNNNNNNNNNNNNNNNNNNNNNNNNNNNNNNNNNNNNNNNNNNNNNNNNNNNNNNNNNNNNNNNNNNNNNNNNNNNNNNNNNNNNNNNNNNNNNNNNNNNNNNNNNNNNNNNNNNNNNNNNNNNNNNNNNNNNNNNNNNNNNNNNNNNNNNNNNNNNNNNNNNNNNNNNNNNNNNNNNNNNAGGUAUUAAACAUUUUAUUAUUGAUAACAUUAACAUAGUAAGAAGAUAAAAUGUUGUCAAUUAGAAAUUAAAAAAAGAAAGCCAACAUCACAAGACACAAUAAAAAGACACAUUAUUAUGAUAUAUUAUGAUAAUGGAUUGGCCAGUAUUGAGCUCAUUAAAAACUAAAAUCUAAUGCAGGUGCUCUUUAAUACAGAUUUCAAGUUAUUGUUCCUUUAUUGAUAAUCGAAUAAAUUUAGAUGAACUAUAUGAUGAGAAAAGUCAUCAUACAAAUGGUAAUUUGCUUAUUCAUCUCUUCUAUCGGUGUUAAUAUAUUUCCCUAUCCUAAUGAAUAAACCAAAAAGAGAGUUUGAAACGAGUAAUCAGUUUGCCUGUGUCAUACGUGUCAUAUCGAAGAAUGUAUUUCUUUAUUGAUUUUUAUUUGUUUUGUCUAUUCUUUUAUGUUGGUUUUGUUGUUGUGUCUUUUUUACGUUUUUUGACUAAUGAUUUGAAUUUUUUGUUGUAGUUUGGUUAUUAAUUUUAACUUUUGUUUUUUGUCUGUUUGUUUCCUUGUUUUUGUUUGUGGUUUUGAAUCAACGAAAAUAAUAGGGAGUGAUUAACAACUUUUUAUCAUUUUUUUGUUUUUUGUUUUUGUGAAAUAAAUAUGCAUAUAGGUUGUUUGAAGUAAUAUAGGUCUAACAACUUAUUACAAAUGUAAUCAUUUUUUUAUUUCCAAGGUCUGAAAAAAGAAACCCUUUUGUUGACACCAAAUGAUCAGCAUUUCGUGCAGCUGGCACGAAAAAUAGGAAUUGCAGACUUUUACAAUUUCUUCAUCUACUUGGCAUGAAAAGCUGUUACGAAACUUAAUUUUAGUUAUUCUCUAACCUAUGAUUUUAUGCUGAUGGGGCUCUUCAAUGGGGGAUAAAAAAGAGAGCGUAAUCGCUGCACUUAAGGAAUCUUUUAGAGCAUUGAGGCUUGGCGCAACAUUAUCUGUGUCAGGUAAAAUCUAGUUGUAUUACAUAGCAUUUUUCAGAAAUUCCAGAUACCAAUUACUUAAUCAACAUUUUCGCUGAUAACAUUUCCUAUUAACCUAGUUUAAUUUACAUAUCAAUGGCUGGCUCAAUCAAAACUUGAUUAAGAGUUCAUUGUCAUCGCAGUUUAUUUCAAGUGAAAAAAAAAACAUAAAAGAAAAGCAAUUCAAUAAACGAUGAAGGACCUGCAUGUACAAUGCAAUGAUUGCCUCGCCUUGAACAUAAGGUAUUUUCAAACAUUAUUUUUGAAGAUUUACUGCAUAAUUAUUAGACAAUUGAUACUUUCCUCGACAGACUGAUUAUUUUUGAAAAAUCAACGUGUGGUCGCAUCCAUCUUCGUUGUGAAAAAUUGAAUUAUUGCUUUCCUUAAAAAACCCACCCCAAAAUACGUGUAUGCAUGAUGACGUCACAUCCGAAGAGCACAUGUGUAUGCACAUCUUUCAAAAAAAGGAAUACUAGUAGAUAGCCAGCAUAUCUUUGAAAAAUCAAUAUAGACAAAUUUUACUGUCUCGAGUAUGAUAUGUGAUGAUUGGUAUAUUUAGCUAUUAACUUUAAAUGUAAUGUUUGAAGUGAAAACUAAUCUUCAACGUUGACAGUUGACAUUGUUCAGGAAUAAUUCUAUAAUAAAGCCAGUUGUGCCGAGGCUGUCCUUGUCUAUAAUGAUUUUCACUUAGAUAUUGACUUAGACUCGAUUUUCAUCAUAAUUUACACGUAUAUCUAUCGUAUAAACCUUAUAACAAGUUUUAUAUUUUAUUGUUAGAUUAUACUUCACUAUAUCAAUUUUUUUUAAUUUUUUUAUUUAUGUCGAUUUACAGGUGAACAGGGAGGAUCAUACUUUAUUGGGUAGGUAACUUUAUUUGUUGUAUAACUACAUGUCUUAAUAUCUUGACAAAACCCUUCUCCCCGUUUCCAUAUUUUGUGACAUACCAUUUUCAAGAAAAAUCAUAUCAAUAUAGGCAAUAAACUUAUAAAUUAUACAGCCAAGUUAAAUGAAUUAUUGAACGAUUUUAAUUCAAUUUUGAGGACUGUAAUUUGUUUCGCCCAUAGUGAAAUGUAAAAUAUGUGAAUCGCUUUUUGUAUUUUGUACUUGUAUAUAUCACUUCAAUUUCACAUAUAAUUACACAGAGAAAGCACAUACUCGCCUGCAAGAUGUUCCAUCAGAUCAUGUUAUAAGAAGUUUGAUAGACAGAAAGAUGAUCGGUGAUUGCGUGGUCCACUUGGGAGUUGAAUUGGGUCUCAGCAUUAGGAACAUCAAGGAGACUAUGUACAAUUUUCCAAGAGAUUUGAAUGGUCAAAUCUUUAAUCUUCUUAUGAAAUGGAAGAACUCGAAAAUCUAAAAAAAACCACAAUUUACCGACUCAUGGUAGCUUUACAACGUGUGACGGCAGCAGAAGGACUAGUGUUCCUGAAGAAAACGUAUGGUGUUGAGUAAGAAGAUGUAUGAAGACGUUAAAAACAAAAAAGAUAUUUUGUUUUAGAAACACUUACCGAAAAGUUUUGAAAAAAGUAUGAUUCUAGAAAAAAUUUUAUUUUUUGGAAAGGACUUGAUUUUGCUUUGAAGUUGAAAAACAAAUUUGUUUUUGAUGUAAUCAAUAUAUUUAUUUAAUCUUAACAGUGUUAUUGUAAUGUCUCUCAUGAUUUAGAGGAUUUUGUUUGUGUCAGAAUUUUUUUAUGCUAAUUUUAGCUUUUGAGUUUGGACGACCUGACUGACUGGUUACAAUAGAGUACAUACGGUAGAGGUUUGACAAUAGAAAAAAAUCGAGGGAGGUACAGAAAAUGAUAGUCAACUCCUUACUUACAUAGGGCUUCCAAUUCGCUCUAUUGAAUGCAUAGAUUUGCAGUAUCGAAACGUCAGAAUGACGGUGUACAGCUUAUUCUACCCAUAAUUGUUGUGUAUAAUCAUAUUUACAUGUACACUAUUGUGUGUAUCGCGCUUUCUGUUUAACACGAUCAUUGUAACAACUACAUGGUUUUAUACUUAAUGAGUCAUAAUGACCUUUUCAAAUGUUCACAAAAAAACAUUAUUAAUCCAAUGAACGCAAAAGGGCAAAAAGCAACAAAAAAUUCGAAAAGUCGAAAAAUUGUAUAUUGUCGGUGACUAAUCAUUAUUUUUCUGUUAUUUUUUUUAUUUUGGUCCUUUAGGUUCAAUCAUAUCCCAUCGAUUACUAGUAUUUUUAUGGUUAAUCAGUCAAAUGAAAUUUAGUUUAAAAGCAACAGCUUUUUGUUCCACGACUGACAGGUUAUUGUUUGUGUUAUUAAUUCAUAAAGCAACACCAGGUAAAAGCUGUUUAUUUGAUUAAUCUGUUUCACUAAAGAAAUAUAGAUAUGAGUAUGACCAUAACUGAUGUCAGUCAUACACUAUUGCUGACUUUAAGACAACAGAUUACUUCAAAUCACAGUUUUGACUAUAUAUCACCAUUGAUUGAUAUAAAUGUGAAACAGAGUGUGAUAUUUUUCCUUUCGACAAAUGUUAUUUACUUUUUUUUUAGUGCCAUUAGAUGUUUAUUAAUAUAAAAUGCGUUUUGAAUUUUAUUACAUUUAAUAUUUGCUUAUCAAUUUAUGACUUUGCACUUUAGUUUCUUCAUUUGUAGCAUCUUACUUCACCUAUCUAUUUACAGCUUUUUUUAUAUAGAAUUAAGACUUAUAUUUAAAAUGCCUUAAUUAAUAUCACUCAUGUUAUACCUGUAAUAAUUUAAUUUUGGAUGUAACGCGUCUUCUAAUUGGCUAACGUCGUUUUGUUUAUCAGCUCAUAGACAUUAUUUUGUCAUGUGACCGAGACGUCAUAACGUUUUGUCGUUGUAUUCUCCGGUAUAAAAUGGAAUUUACAAUUAAUUUAUAAGAAAUGACUUUUAAAAAAAUCUGUCUAUUCGAAAUAACAUGAAAAAAGUGGUGCACCACAUUUGUUAUGUUAUUUCUUCCUAGACAGAAAAAAUAUUAGAGUAAUUUCUUAAUUCAAUAUCAACAAGGUAUUAGAUAAAACUGGACAUCAACAUCAAGUUUAGAAAAAAACUCUAGUUCUUUAAACCGCAUAAUUUCAUGAUGUUAGUUCCAUUAUUUUUUAAUUUGAUGGAACUAUCUUUUUUUUCUUCUUAGUUGAUUGUUUCAUAUUGAACCUAUUUAUUAUGAUUUAAAGACAUCUUGUGCAUUAUAACUUACCGUAAGAAAUAAAUUGCAAACACUUGAUAGUAUGAUUAAACCUUUUCAUGUUAUGUAAACAUGAAAACUUAGGAACUAAGCUUACUCCAUGCAUGCAUGGGCGAUUGCAACUAACGUUAACUUAGUUCAUGCUUGCAUGGACUAACACAACAGACUUAGUGCUUGCAUGCAUGAGCUAAACUACCUUUACAUAGACAUUGGAAAUUAUUCAAUUAUUCAAGCAGACUUACUCCAUGCAAGCAUGGACUAAGUUAUUGUUAGUUGCCUUCGUCCAUGCAUGCAUGGAGGAAGCUUAGUUCCAAAGUUUUCUUGUUUAUAUAACAUGAAAAGGUUUAGUCUUACUAUCAAAUGUUUGCAAUUUAUUUCUUUUUUUUUGUUUAGUGUAUCUAUGUAACAUUUUUUUGUUUAUUGUAUCAAUGUAACAUUUGUUUUUUUGGUUAGUACUGCUUAUAAAUGAAUUUACAUAAAUUUUAUUAGAAUAGUGUAACAAUAAAAGUAUAGUAAAACGUAGUCCUGAUUUUUUCUCAAUUUAGUCAAAUUCACAAUUCAUUGCAUAACUGUAUACAAUCAAUACGUAGGAACUUUAUACAUGAUCAACAAGAACCCAAUAAAUGCAUGCGUCUGACCUUAUCAACACCUAAGAGCGUUCCAUCGGAAUUUUGAAGAUUUUUAUUCAGUAAUUUAUGGAGCAGGAUCUGCUUACCGAUUCGGCGCACCUGAGAUAACAACCAGUUUUUUAUAUGGGCCUUUUAUAACUGUCUAUGUGGUAUGGACUUUGCUCAUUGUUGGAGGCCGUACGAUGACCUAUAGUUGUUAAUUUCUGUGUCAUUUUGUUGUCUUGUGAACGGUUGUCUCAUUGGCAAUUAUACCACAUCCCCUUUUUCAUAUGUGAUGGUGUUCGUGUUGUCUUUUCAUUUUUUCAGCCAUGGCGUUGUCAGUUUAUUUUCGAUCUAUAAAUUUGACUGUCUCACUGGUAUCUGUCGCCCCUCUUUGGUUGUCUGAUGUGUUUUGCUUGUCAAUUUAUGUUCAAAGUAUUCUCAGGAUAAAGUCUCAAGGUAAAAAGUUGCUGCUUACCAUCCUAAAUAGUUUGUUUUGUUUGGAAGAAAAUUACUUAUAAUGAAAUCUUUAAAAAAAAUGAGAUGCAAAUAUAAUAGAGCUCAUGUAAACACAGCAUGUGCAUGGAUACAUUUGAGAUUUAUAUGUAUAAAAAGAAAAUGUGGUAUGAUUGCCAAUAAUAAAACUUUCCACAAGACACCAAAUGACACAAAAUUUAGCAACUGUAGGUCACUGUUCGGUCACUAAAUUCUCUAUUUUUGCCUGGUGUAUGCAUUUUGACAACAACAUUAAAUUCGGUACAUUAAAUAUCAGUUUCAAAACAUCUGAAACAUUUAUAAUGCAGACUUAAUCCAAGUUUAAUAAAUCAUUCGCACCAAAGCUGACACAAAGGUUAUUUUGGAUCCAUAUGAAGAAAUUGAUUGAAUAUUUCAGAAAAUAAAAUUAAUUAUGAAGCAAUUUUCUAUUUUGAAGUCUCGUAGAUUCUUUAAGUCCCGAGAUUUGCAGCAACGUUGUGAAAAAUAAAUAUUUUUUUCGAGAACAAAAUAUGAAGAGGCGUUUUAUGCAAUAAUAAUCAGGGGCGGAUCCAGGAAUUUAUUAGGGGAUGGUCACCUUUUGAAAUCUUAAAUUAAAUUCAAUUUUUUUUAAUUGGUAUCAUGAAAAUAGUUACAACUAUAGAAGACAAAAGUUACACAUUAUUUAUAAAAUUGAUUCCAAUUUCAUUUUUCUGAUGCCUGCGUAACAUGUCAACUAUAACAUCAAGUUCUUACUCUAAAUUGUAAUGCACGUGCAUCAGUGCAAGUCCUGGCCCAUUGUUGCACGUAAAAAUGUUUUCAGUAACCCGAGUUCACAUUCGAAGCUCCAUCACAACUUGUUACACUCAUUGUGCAAACAAUUUUGAGAACAACACGCUCAUGUAAUACUCGAAAACAUUAAACCGUUUCCUGAUUUUUAUCUCUCUGACUUGCCUAGUCCAUUUGGAAUUUCUUCGGAAGUAGAUAGUCCCUAGAUAGGUGGUUGCAUUUCUGGAAACAUACCACAGAUACAGUGACAAAGUCAGCUGCUGAAACCAUUAAAAAAUUCAACAAACUUGAUUAUCCCAAUAUAUAUGCAAUUCUCAAAACUGUUUGCACAAUGAGAGUAACAAUGUGAAUGUGAGCGUUCGAAUAUUUAAUGUUUAUUUAUGUGACUUUUAAACUUUAAAAUUGUUUUUGAAUUUUGGCAUCACAGUAAAAAAAAUAUUAUUGGUCGAGAAAAGUUAUUAUACAAACUUUAAAAACUAAGAUAAACGUAAUGUAAAAAAAUAUAAAUUACCUGCUAAAAACAUCUAAGAUUGAGGACUGUCUCAUCAUUUUUACACCUUAACAUCAAAGAAAUCGACCAAGUAAUUAGCGAUUGUUGAUUAUAUGUUCAUUGUAUAAACAUACCUGUUAAGGUGCAUGUAUUUAGUAACAACUUUAUGACUGGUGAUUACGAUAUACAAAUUGAUUUGAUCGACGAAUUUAUUUUUCAAAAUGUUCAAGGUGCACCAUUUUGUGUGUACAUGGUGCACCAUUUUUGCAAACCCAGGGGGUGGUCACCGGCACCGGAUGACCACACCCUGGGUCCGCCUCUGAUAAUGUAUAAUUGAUUAGAACAUGCAGCGUUCGAUGUGCGAUAGAAAAAUAAAAGAAAAAAGAAAUAAAUGCUAUAUUACUCCGAAUUCGAUUCCCGUAUAAAACGCACUUCAUUUAUUUUUAUUUUCGAAGGUAUACUUUACCAUACAUUAUUGAAAUACUGUGUAAGGAUAAUGAAAACCUUGUCAGUAAGAGACGAUUUGAUAUCAAACAUACUAGAGAGAAGCUUAAGGCACACUAUAUCACAAAGGUGUAUUUAGUAUUGAUGUGUGCAGUUGUCCACUGCUAGACGUUAACAAUAUGACAAAGAGUCUAGAUUCAACGCAAACAAAUGAACAUGAAGGGGUUGAAAAAAAUCUUUUAUUUUCAUUCUUAAUUCGUUUAAAUUAAAAAAAAAACAUGUUUUCUUUUGAACUGGUAUUUUCGAAUUGCUGUUGAUAAAAUUCUGACCUGACACAUAUAUGUAAUAAACAAAGUAAAGAAUAAUUUACAAUGCGACAAACAGAACAUUUUUUUCUUCUUAGAUAUUAACAGACAGUCAAAUUCAACAUGUUAGUCGUGUCUGCCUUCCAAACGUUAGUCGUGUCUGUCUUCAAAAUAACUCGAUUGUAUUAUUGCAGAAUUAUAAAAAAUAUGAAACGUUGUUUAAAAGAAAUCUCGUCUUUGAAAAGACUCGUAAAUCUUUAUCACAGAAAAAUAAUUUUGUGUCGAUAUCUCUUCAAAUGACAAUAUUGACAUGAUGGAAAAUAAAACUUGCACAUGAAAGACAAAUUAUUGAAACAUUAGCUCAGGAGAAGCUGGAAACGCCUUACGAAAAUACGACAAAACUCAUAAACACUAGCGUUUAAAUUACAACUUACAAUGAAAAUUGAAAACUGAACAACUGGAACCACACCACACAUUAGGGAUGAUUGCAGGUGUUUUACUAUUCAUCAAAGCUGAAAUUAAAAACGUUAAUAUAAUGUUGCCUGUUAAACGAUAACAGACUCAAAGAAGAUCUGACUUUGAACGAUUUAAUUUUAACGUUAGUCUUGUUAAGAGUAGCUAUGAGAAUAUUAAAAAAGGUGGUAUGCUUUCUAAUGAGAUGACUCUGUAUGAAAGAUCAAAUGACACAUAAUUUAAUAACUAUAGGUAACCUACGGUAACCUUUCUGAUGAACAAAGCCAAUGUUGCAUAGUCAGCUUUAAAAGGCAUCGAAAUUACAAAUUAAUAACAAUUCAAACAAGAAAACCAGCCGCCUAAUUUAUGUACAAAAACAAAAAUGAAUAGAAAAUAAAUAUUUAGCUCAUCAACACAAAACAACCACUGAAUUACAGGCUCACGGCUUGGAACAGGCACAAACAUAUAGAAUGUAGAAGGUUAAACAUGUUAGCGGGAUCCCAACCAUUCCCUAUACUUGGACAGUGCUGUAACAGUACAAUAUCAGAACAAACUAUAAAAAACAGUUGACAAAGGCUUAACUUGGAUGGAGAGUUGUCUCAUUGACUUUCAAAUUACAUCUUCAGAUAUCUAUUAACUUGGUUUACCUUCACAAAUUGUGCCUUGAUAGGAGGGUUGUCUCAUUGGCACUCACACCACAUCUUCUUAUAUAUUAACUCAUAUACAAAUAGAAACACAUCUAACAAAACAACUGAGUGGAUGUGGCCGGGAACUUGUAUAUCCUAACAACAACAAAAAAAUAAGUAAAGAUCUGACAGUACUCACUGUUACCGACAGUUAGUUCAGUGCCACUGACAACUAAUAAGAAAUCAUGCAUCUUAGACUAAAUUAUCCCUCAGCAAACACCCAACAUUAAAUUGAUUUAGUGUAAAGACGCCAUAAAUAGUCAGAGAAAAACAUGACCUCGUGCAUUGCCAAGGUACAUAAAUCAACAGCUUGUAGAUCCGUAAAAUCAGUAUGUAUAAUAUAAUAAUCAUUUUGUAGAUUUUUUGUUACCAAAUCAUAUUUGAUCCUCAUACAACUACUAUUCAUGCUUAUCAUACUUCUUUCUCUUUCAAAAAAAUCAACAUAUGACUAACCUGUAGUUAAUUUCAGAAAACGAAAUUAUGAUCCAAUAAAAGAUUUUUUCAUUUUUUUUUCUUUGUGAAACAGUUCUUUUAAUCACCUAAUAGUUAUUAAAAGUACCAGGAUUAGAAUUUAUUACUCCAGAUGCGCGUUUCGUCUUAAUAAGACUCAUCAGUGACGCUCAUAUCAAAAUAUUUAUAAAGCCAAACAAGUACAAACUUGAAGAGCAUUGAGGAUCCAAAAAGUUGUGUCAAAUUCGGCUAAGGUAAUCUAUGCCUGAAAAAAACUGAAUCAAUCCAUUAGAAUACUGCAAACAGGAAAACGUGAAUGUGCUGCAACCAGACAAUUUGACGUCAGAAACUCGUCUUACUGUCCUUUGGACAAUGAUACCGGUAGAAAAGAUUUGUUAAAGACCACUAAUGGCCAGAUCAACAUGUAUUGAAAAUGAAACGUCAAUAGAAUUAAUUAAACGACGUCAUUUGCGAGACAGACCAACGGCCGCAACUGCUAAUCAAAUUGCUGAAUGCCAUUUUGCACAGAUUAAUGCCAUAAACGUUAUCCAUUAACAGAACUGCCGAAGAAUCGACUGCAGAAAAAAAACAUUUAAAGCUUUAAAGUUUCAACCGCAUAAUUGGUAAAACCCAUUGUAAUGGGUGGAACAACGGCAAAAUCAGAAGGUGAAAAACACAACCCAAAACGUGUAGAACAGAGUUGGUAGACAUUUCUCAUAAUCAUUUCGGCGUUUGUUACAGGCAUUCAUUGCUUUUGACGGUGACACGUUCAUUGCUAAUAGUGGGAGAUUUUAUAGACAUAAUUGUGCAAAUCGUGAUACAAGCAUAAAAUUUGGUAUAUGGGUGGACAAAAUGAUAAUUAAAAAAGUCAGCUGCUUGCCAUAAAAAUUCUCAUUUUUUGAAGAUGGCCACCGCUCAUUUUGCAAAUGGCGUCAAAUCCAAUUUGUUACAUUUCGUUAGUCAUUAGAAACCUGUGUAAUAGGUAUAAUUCAAUGUCAUUUUUGAUAAAACUUAAAGAAGGGUUCCUAAAGUAGGAAAAAACAAUACAUUCAUGAAGAAAAAAUGGCGGCAAAAUGUGGAAAAUGUCAAUUGUAUCAUUUCUAUCAACUUAACAAGAGACAGAACUGUUUUUUUUAAGUUCAAAUGCAUAUGCAGUUUGUUUAGAAAGACAGGUUGCUUAUCUUAUAAUUAUCUUACAGUUACAAAUACACAAACAUCUACACGGAACACCUUAACGGUAGCAUUUACAGUUACCAACACAGCUGAAUUUCUGGCAUCUGCAUUUGUAACAUGGGGAUCAGCGGCCAGCAGAGAAGUCCAUUUUUGUUUCCAGUUAUCAUUGGGUUGUUUUCUUUAACCCAACUCCUGUGGUCAUGUCUUGGUACAUGGACCUGUCGAAUGCAUAAAUCCAGCCCAAACAUGUCCAUCUUGAUAUAUGCUUCUCCUUUGAUGUACUGCAGAAGAUUAAAAUCGUUUGCAAGGAAGCAGCGGCCUUAUGAUGCUAUUCCGCCCUACCACAGGACAUCAUAUGAUUUUGUGUAGGCGAAUAGCAUAAUAAGCCUUUGCUUCCUUUCAACGAUUUUAUCGUGCCUCCUUAACAGCAAACUGUGAUGUUUCCGUACAUGAUACAAACAAAUCUUCUAUGAAGUCAAUGUCUGUCUCUUCAUACAAAAUCGGGCAAAAAUGUCCGUUACAUCUGAGAUUACUUCCAAUGUCUGCCAAGCUGACCUUUUCAUUUUUCGAUGAAAUGCCGACUCAGUGUCACACCCAUUAUAUACAUGGAAGAAAGGAAAGCUGCUACACGAGGACAUAACAGGAAGCAGUCGAAAGUCUUUAUUCCUUAAAAAACUUAUCCACAAUUUGUCCAAACCUAAUAUUGCGAGCACAGCAAUUCCUAAUACUACUACAUCUCUGUGUCAGUACUACUUAAAAUCACUUUUUACAACCAUUUUUAGCAGCAUGCUUAUUAUGGGAAAUCUUUCGUGUAUCUGCUUUUUCAUGGUUACAAGGGGAUAGCUGGGAAGUAUCCGUAUUGAAAUUGCACAGUACAUUUUCAACUUGAGUAACAUAAACAUUUUCAUUAGUCUCUUAAGAAGCUUCAAUAAUUCCGUUUUGUUAUCAUCUUCACAGUUCAAAGUUUUUUAAACAGGAAAUUUAUUUAAAUGACCAUUUAAUUGAUGUUCAUGUCAACACUGAAAUGCUGACUACUAAGCUGGUGAUACCCUCGGGGACGAAACGUCCACCAGCAGUGAUAUCGACCCAGUGGUGUAAAAUAAACGAUAAACGUAUGUUCUUUGUACAAGUCUGGCCAUUCCUACUGUUUGCCCGAUAUUUAGAAAGUUAAUCACCUUUUUCAUCUUAUCCAUCGAAUGCUUUAACAUGUUACAACUGAAAGGGCUUGUUUUCAAACAGUGGCAUCAAAAGCAACACUUCAUACUCGAAUAGAUACUAGAUGCUUAGACGAACAACAAAUGGAAGUGUUUAACGACCUUGACUGGCCAUACAGCCUUUGCAUGGUCUGCUCGAUGCACAUAGGCGUUUGGUUAGCGUUUCAUUUUUUUUUUGCCAUCAGUCAGGAACGAGUGGUGGUCGCCAUUUUUUAGGUCGCCAUCUUGGUUUCGUGAUUUGAUUUGUUGACUAUUUAGGUGUUAUUUCUUCACAACGGCUGCUUUCAGGGCCAGUUUGGUCAGCUUGGCAGCCCGCUAGCCUCGAUGAUGGAGUACUGGUAGAUGAGUCAUGACGUAGUGCUAAGGAUGACAGGAAGCGUUAUCAGGACCAAAGCCGUGAGGCAGUGUAAUGAAGGUCAAUCUUCUAACACCUAGGAUACAUCCCUCGGACGUUAAUCGGCAUAACACUCCCCCAUGAUACAAUGGGUUUUGGAGUGCAUGUUAACGCGGGUACGCCUACUACUACGUCUACUUUACGGCGUUGGAUUGGUUUAUGUUAUCUAAAAUAGUACGUCGUAAAUAACCUGACUGUAAACCCGCAUCGAAGAUAGCGGGUUAAGGAGAGCUGGCCCAGCACGUCCGUUCACCUGUAAUGACUGAGACGUGACUGGAUUAAAUGUGGAUUGGAUUGUGCUUGAUGCUUAGAGGAAUCAAUGACGAUCAAGAUAUGUUCAAGAAAUUCAAAUCCUCAUCUGUUAGAUGAACUACGAUUUCCGUCAUUGUGCCCUUGAAGUGCGUGUAAUUCGUUCUUUAUUAAUGUGUAUCAUAACCUUAAAAAUUGUCAUUAAACAAAUUCAUAACAGCAUAAGAAAUUCAAAAGCGCUAAGCAUGUAAUUAUAUAAUUCAAAUGUGUGUGUGUGAAUUGUGUAACAUUUUAACGCAUGCGCAAACCAAGAACAUGUUAAAUAUUUAUUUCUAGUAUAAACAUCACAUGUUUAGAAGGUAUCCAUCAAACCUGGUAGUAUUUUUUACUCAGAGACGGUCAAAGAAAACAAUUUCCAGAAAAAUAAGUAUUUUAAUCUGGAAAAAAUCAGCCAUUUUAGAAAAGGUGUGGCCAUCUUGAAAAAUUUUCUGAUGGCCAGCAGUUUUUUCUUAAAACGUAUAUAAUAAUGAUGCUUCGUGCUAAUUUUCAUGCUUGUAUCAUCAUUUGCAAAAUUCCCUUGAUUUUGCUUGCUAAUAUCUUCCACUAUAAAAAACAAAUUUUGAAAAGUUCGAAAAAUGUUUACAAUUAUGAUUUAAAAGUAUAAUUAUUUUUUACAUCAAUUUUUAGUAGUUUUAUUGAUUUCCUUACUGUUAUAAGUAACGUCUGCAAAAAACUUUCCUCAACUCCCGAGCUUAAACAAUAGCGGAACAGUAUCUGCGCAGGAGCGGUAAAGAAAUUAAAAUAAAACAAAGUGAACGAUACAGAGUCCAUAAAAGAUUCAAAAUUUGUUAUAUAUUUUUUAGAAAUUAAUUUACCGUUUUUUGGACUUUAUUCCCCAUAAUAAUCAAGCAUCUGAAAGGUCUGCCUGUCACUUACAUGUUUUACAUAAAUGUGAGAUGUUACAUUGAGUUGUUUUAAAAAUUUCCUUUGAAUUUUUCGUAACAUUUGUUUCAGGUAAAAAUGGACUUGUGCAUUCUUUUGAUGAUAGUGAAGGGAAAGUUGCUCUUCUCAUAUAUGAGUUCACUAACACUCUACAAAUUCAAGGAAAAGGGUGAUAUUUUGGUUCAAAAAUAUAUUUAAGAUUUUUGCAGAAGAACUUCAUCAUUUUCACACAGAGAUUGGAUGAUUCAAAAAUUGUGAAAUUUAAAAAUGUACAUAAUGAGGAUAAUGAAAACAUCAGUAAUAUAAACCAGGUUGGAUCUACACAAAAUUCCAAUGUGUCAGAGACAAAUCUUAAGGUUGUGCGGUACAUGACAUCUGACUGUGUAAAGACAGAAUCAAAAUUAGUACACAACAUGACAUCAAUCAACACAGAUACUUUCAUCACUUCCACUCCCAGCUGGAAGUCACCUGAUACCAAUGAACUGUUGUUAGAUUUUAAUACUUUAUCUCCAAUUAACAUCAAUCAUUAUGUUCUGCACAAACUGUUGAUUUCCAAUACUGGCAACUACAAAACCUAAAACUAAUAGAACUAAAACUCAAUUUCAUCCUGAUUUAAAGGACAGUGCCAUGCAAACAUCCCCUGACAUGCCUGAGGUGCAUCAAAAAAUGUUGAAAGGUGCAUACAAUCAACUCCUGAUGUUAAAAAUAUCUCUAAAUCUACUCUCAGGAAAACAAGGCAGAAGACUUGGAAAUGGAUCCAAAAACAAAUUAGUAGAAAUUUAAAUAACAAACAUUGUGAUAGGAAGUUCCCUCUGAAAAGCAUAAAUACAAAAGACCUGAUAAACCCGUAUAUCAACAAACAGAGAUGCAAGAAUUAUUGAUAUUAUCAAUAUGUUAAAGAUAUACAUAAGGCAAUAUCAAUCAAUCAUUGUCCAUAUUGAUGGGAAUGAUAUAAGCAUGGUGCAACUCUAUUUGAUUCAAGAGAACUAUGAAAGUUUGCUGUACUUGCUCAGAUCUAAAGCAGAUAUGAACACCAACAUUAUUGUGUCAAGUGUACCCAAGAAAGGAUACAGAUGUAGAACCGGUUAAUAAGAUUCUAAUUGAUCUGUGUGACUAUUACAAUUUACAUAUAUAGAUCAUAGCAAAUGUUUCUAUGAUGACUAUGGUUAUGUCAAAAAAACUUUAUUUCAAAGAGAUGGCAUACAUCUUACAAAAAUUGGAACAUUGGUAUUUUUACAAAAUUGAUCAAUAUGUAAAAUUCCUUAAAUCUUCAUCAGACAAUGAUUACAGUCAAUACUGUGGUGAAAGAGUCAUGACUAAAUACAUGUAGGCAUGGUAAGCCUGUGUCUUGUUUCUCCUGUAAAUCAUUUGGUCAUAAGGAGAAUUUUUGUGAUCUGUAUUGGCAAAGAGAUAUAGCCAUUUCAUCUUUUAAAUUAUUUCUAAAAAUGAAAAAAACUUCCACAAACUACUUUAAUGUUUUAAAUCAAUUUAUCAAAUGUUAUAAUUACAUGUAUCUGCCUCCAGACAGGAGUCUAAAUAUCUCUUUAAGAAAAGUGAAAAAAACCACCAAACUUGAACAUUCUUCAAAUAGAAUGGACAAAUCUACUGUCAAGUUUUCUAAAAAGCAGUAUAAGUGAUUUGAACAAAACAAAUGCAAUCACCAGUAUGACUAAUGCUGGAAAUUUUACAGUGCAUGAGAAUCUUUGUGUAGCGUUACAGAAUCUGAUAAUGAUACUUAUGAAUCUAAAUGAAGGUAAUUAAUUUGCAAUGUACUGAUACAAAUGUUUUAUGCAUCCCCCUGAGGCCUUAUCACCUGUUGAUUUUAAGCUUUGUUUCAUUGGAUUAAGUGUAUUAGUGACAGCAUGUUUUUGCCUUACUAAAUAAUAAUUGUUAUGAAUUACCUAUUUACAAGAAACAUUUGAAGAAAGGAUAAUGUUUAUGACUUUUCUUUAACAAUGUAUAAAAAUAUAUCACAUAAUGUAAACAGACUUGAACACAAGCUGGAUGAAAUCAAAUACAAUUUAAUGUUCUCUGAAAAUCCUCCAGACAUAUAAUGUUGUUGUGAAAACUUUUUGGACAGUAACACCCAGGAGAAAAGAUAGACUAUCACAAGGUGGAGGUGGUUUGGUUGCUAAUUUUUCAGAAAAAAGUAACAUUUAAUAGAAAAGCUGAAUUUGAAAUAAGUGACAUUGAAACAAUGUGGUUUGAAAUUAAACCAGUUCACAAAAGAUAAUUUUUAUUAUGUUCAGUAAAGACAUGAAUUUGAAAAAAAAUUACUACUGCCAUCAAUCAUAAUUAAGAUAUUAUUUUAGUUGGUGAUUUUAAUAUUGAUUUUUUAAAACCUGAUAAACAACCACAAAAAAAAGUUUAUUAGAAACCUACAAUCUCAACUGGAUAAUUCAAGAGGCAACUAGAGUUACACCUGAUUCUAGAACACUGAUUGAUCAUGUUUAUGUCACCAAUAAAGAUUUGAUACUAGAAUCACAUGUUGCUAAAUUUCAAUAAGUGAUCAUUAUCCAGUUUGUUUAACUAGAAAAGAAAAACAUUCCACUCAUAUCAAAAAAGAUAUUCAUACUACCAUUUCUUACAGAAAUUUUAAAAAAUACAAUAAGGCAAAUUUUCUAAGUGACUUAACUAUUGCACCUUUUGAUAGAAUUGAACAUGAAAGGCACUAAGUCAGAACAAGUAAAAUUUUCAAUUCCACCAGUCACAAUAAAUGGUCUAUUUAAUGAGAUGAUCAAACUUGACAUUAAUAAAUCCACCGGAUCUGAUAACAUAGGACCAAAAAGUUUAAAAUUGAGAGCUCCUUUCAUAAAGUCAUCUUUAACUUACAUAUUGUUAAGAGAGAGCCAUAUCUCUUGCACGUCAAAGACACCCUUGUAGAUUUCGAAAAAAGAGUAGGCUAAUGCCGCUACAAGGCAGCACUCGCACCCGCAAAGUGGAAAGGGAUUAGUAUAAGUUGCAAAACUUGUUUCCCAAUCCACUAUAAAUAAAUAUGUUUAAACUAACUUACAUAUUUAACAGAAUAGAAGAUACAAGUACAUUACCCAGUGUUCUAAAGAAUGCAAAAGUAACCCCUGUUUUAAAGCUGGUGAAAAAUCCAUGGCAACAAAUAACAGACCAAUUUCUGUACUUCCCGUUUUGUCAAAACUUUUAUAAAAACACGUUUCAAAACAUUUGUAUGACUACCUAAAAAGAUAAGAUAUUUUACACCCAGCACAGUCUCGGUUUCGACAAGAACAUUCUUGCCAAACUGCCCUUAGCAAUAUCAUAUAUAAAUGGAUACAGGAUAUGAAUGAUGGUGAUAUCAACUUAGCAGUCCUGUUAGAUUUUAAGAAAGCUUUUAAUGUAGUAGAUCAUGAUAUUCUCUGUAAAAAAAAACUUGAAGUUUAUGGAUUUGAUAAUACUGCUGUUUCUUUUUUUAAAUCAUAUUUGAAUGAAAGAACUCAACAAGUACAAACUGGUAAUGCUCAUUCUAAAAAACUUUAUAUCAAGUAUGGUGUCCUAAAAGGCUCCAUAUUAGACCCCCUUCUGUUUAUAUUACACAUAAACGACCUUCCUAUUUAUAUGAAAAACUGUUGCACUGAUUUAUAUGCCGAUGAUUCAACUUAACAUCGUUCUGGUAAUUGUUAUCAAACUCUACAGUGAAAGGUACAAGAAGAUUUACAUGGUGUAGAGGAAUGGUGCAAUGAUAACAACAUGUUCAUCAAUAAAAAUAAAACAAAAUAUAUGAUUAUUGGAACAAAGCAAAGAGCAAUGCCACAUUACGAUGAGAGUUGUUUAACUAUUAACAAUCAAAUGAUACAAUCUUCCACAUGCGAAAGUCUUUUAGGCAAUAAAAUUGACCCUUCCCUCACAUGGACAAACCUAAUUGAUUGUAUCUGCUCAUAAAGAUCAUCUAGACUAUAUCUACUAUUAAAGAUUAAAAAAUUUCUAAAUCUAGACUGCAGAAAAUUAUUAUAUAAUGGUUAUAUCUAAUUGAUUAUUGUUGUAUAGUGUCCAGUAGUUGUAGCAGUAAGAGUUUAAAAAGGAUAUUAAAAUUACAAAAGAAGGCUGCUAGAUUAAUACUAGAAACAGACCCAUUCCGUCCUUCUGCACCCUUAUUCAAACACUUAAACUUGAUGACAGUUGAACAGAGAAUAAAAUGUCAUAAAUUAAUGAUGACAUUUAAGUGCAUUAAAAAUGAUGCCCCAUCAUAUCUUACUAACAAGUUUCAUUAUGUUUCAGACAGAAAUCCAUACCCUUGAGAAAUGCUGUUCAAGGAAACCUCAUACUCCCUAAAUCAAAAACAGAAUUGUUCAAAAAAUCUUUUAUGUAAUCUGGACCAUUCUUGUGGAAUAAUUUGCCAAUACCGUUCAGAAAUAUUACAAAUGUUAAUUCUUUCAAAUACAAAAUAACAGAUCAUUUACUGAAAUCAACCUAGCUGUAUCAAUGAUAUUAGAAACUGAUCAUGUCAUCAUGUUUAUUUUUUUCAUCACAUUUUAUCAAGUUGCAUUGAACAUUAUUAUCAUACUUGACUUUUCAUACUAAUGUAUGCAAUGUAUAUGUUUGCAUUUUGUUUGAUUUCUCAUGAUGAGGGCCUCAGGGAAGAUUAGUUAUAUAGCUUACUGUGUAACCCUCUUAAAAUAAAGUAUUGUUGUUGUUGUGGUUGUUGUUAUUUAUCUUCUACUGACAUCACUAAAUCGUAUUGGUUUUUAUUUGGCCUUUCCCUAGAUGUUAGUUACCUCAUUUAUGGAAAUUGUAUAAGGUUUCCUUGAACAAAAAUGUUGAAUUCAUUAUAUAAUUUCUUUAAUGUAAGUUUUGGUAGUUUUAAACCCUAGUUUGAUGAAUUCUGAUGAAUUUAUUUUUCGUCUUGUUGAAUACGGUUACUAAUGGACAUUUAACCACGAUGCAUGUGCUUUGUUUGACAUAUUGAAGUGUUGUGGUAAGACACAUUUUAAAACAUUACCUUUUUUCGAAAUAUUAUAUAAGUUUGUUUUAUUUUUAGAUUAAUCUUACAUAACUAUGAUAUGAAUAAUCUGCCCUAAACAUUUUUAUGUUUUUAUGUUGAUCUCUUAUUUAUUAUACCAAAUAUCUAUUUCAUGUGAUAAGACGUAUUGAGUUAGUUAGAAAUCCGCCACACAUAAAGUUAUUUAUUUCCCUACCUUGACAAACUUUAUCAAGGUACAGAAAUCACAGGGGUAAUUUUAAGGGCAGAAAUAAAAUCUUCUAUUUGAUAAACUAAUUGAAUUAUAAGGAAAGACUUCAUUAACCAUAUAUUUGAAAAUCCAGAGGCAUUCAGACAUUUAGAACUUUAAAAUUAUUAAAAAUAAUGUAUCCAAUUAUUUAGAUAGAAAUAAUCCAAAGCGGGACUUGUCGGGGUACCCAUUGUAUUAACUGUUAUAUUGAUCGAAAAGCAAAUACUGCAUGAGUGAGGUGAUUUCUAUCAUUGACUGAAUAAUGAAGUUUUAAAGGUAAAUAUAAAUAUAUUUAGUUCAACAUAUAAUGGGUAUAUUGAUUCCAUAACUGCAUCAAUUCUGAUAAGAUAUAUGUUCACUUGAGACAGCUAAAUUUUCAAAUGUUUAAAAUCUAACUGCCGAGAGUGAAUAGAUAUCAUAUUGCACGUGAUUAUGUUGUUGAAUCUGUGUCCCAACUAUUUUACACUAUAUAAAGGGGCAAAUUUCACUCACAUCAAUUAAACUUGAAUUUAAAUUCAUGUGAAUCUCAUGUGCAAUUCACAUAAAUUUCACCUCAAACGAGCUUCCCCAAUGUACAUGUUGAGUUUUUUUUAUAGUGUAGCUCAUCCCUAAGUAUUCAUUAUACCAAAGUUUCACGACAAAAGGAGAAACAAGUGAAACAAUUGUAAAUACUUUAAAUUGAAAAAAAACGAUUUUGUUUAAAAAUUAUAUGCAAAGUUUGAAAAAAUAGAUUAAAACUUGUGAAUCUCUUUUUUUCUCUGUUAGUUUCAGUAUCUAAAUCCUUAUACUGCGCAGUCAUCAAAUGUAAUUAAUCAAGGUAUUUAAUUUCAUUUUAACAAGACGACGGUUUAAUAUUCAAGUACACACUUCAAUACACAAUUUACAACAAUCGGUGUUUAUAAAGUUAGUCAUAAAACAUUUUCCUUAUCGAGACCACUUUAAAUAUCUUGGAGAAAUAAAGUUUGAUUUGUUUUUGAAAGUCAUUAGAAAAAAGAAGUAUUUACAAGGAAGAACACAGAGGUCAUAGAUGGGACAUGCACAAAAACACACACAUACAAAAAAACAUAUGUGGUCAACAUAAUAAUCUGUUACAUGUGGUUUUCUAUACUAUCAAUAGUAAUUAAAGGGUAAUCUGGACAUUUAAAUCUGACAUUUCUUCAUAUACUAAACAAAAAAGUUAUUGUGCCAUGUUCAGUCUUUCAGUAUAUUUGCAAAUGUUCUCACUGCCUAGAUUUAGUAAUAUUCAGAUAAAUCGAUUGCAUUAAAAUAAGAUCUUAUCAAGUCAAUGUUCAGAAUUUCUGAAAAUCUACUAGAACUGAAUCGACAGCAAGCAUAUAGCCUUAACUUGAUUGAAUUCGACACAGUGGAUAAUUCUGAAAAGACUGCAAGAUUGAAAAUAAUGCAAUUAUGAUACGUGAUUUUGUAGGUCUUAUUUUAUAUUUUGAAAAACUAUCCAGUGUUAUUCCUUCCUAUUAUAUUGCUACAUUAUCUGGCAUAUUCGUCAAGUUUAACAACGGAAAUAAAGAACAAAGAAAAAAAGUGUUAUAAUGUAGUCUCUCCACUUUCCACAAAAAUGGCCUUCACAUAUCGUUAUAACAAUUUGGCAUGUAAUACAAUACUAAGUUUUUUUUAGAAUAAGUUCAUUAUUCUAUGAUCACUUCUCAGAAAAGUAGACGUUGAAGAGUUGAGAAAUUUUAUCGCAUUCAAACAUCCAUGGUCCAUUUCCAACAGAAACUUACAACAUCAUUUAUUUAAGUUUUACAAGUUACAGAACAUUUUGUUUGCUAUGGAGAUUCCGUAUAUCAUGUAUAUCGUGAAGUUCUUGAAGUUCCAACGGGGAUAAACUGUGCACCCCUUAUUGCGGACCUGUUUCUGAUUUAUUAUUCUCUAAAUUUUUUAUACAUUUUCACAUUUCCUGACUGGUGUGAGAAAAAUAUUUCUCCUCACUAGUGAAAAAUCUGUUCUCGGCAAAUGAUUGGUUGAAAGUUAAUUGUGACGUUAAAUUUUCAUGUUUCUUCUGAAUUUUCUUAUUGUGACGUCAUGAAAAAAGGCGACCAUGCCUGUUGACGUCACUUCAAAAGUACACAAC
This 35072-nucleotide long non-coding RNA is filed under the name Mytilus galloprovincialis (Mediterranean mussel). The record is from RNAcentral. Lineage: Eukaryota; Metazoa; Mollusca; Bivalvia; Mytilida; Mytilidae.